Hydractinia symbiolongicarpus is the source of this 3792-nucleotide long non-coding RNA. RefSeq lists it as uncharacterized. NCBI's taxonomy places the organism in Eukaryota, Metazoa, Cnidaria, Hydrozoa, Anthoathecata, Hydractiniidae. The transcript has 2 exons. The record is from RefSeq and is a predicted model, not a curated record.
UCGUAAUGACAUCAACUUAUGUGAUUUUUUAAUCAUUUCUAAGUAAACUGGAUCAGUCUGUACGCGUGAGAAAGAACGAAUUGGUAACUUAACGUGACUGAAAAUGAUGGAAUUGAAAGUGCAAUAAAUCACCGCAGGUUUAGACAGUGGAAGGUGAAAGUUCAAAAUUUUCUAUAGGAGAUACAAGCUAAGUUUCUACAGAGUACCUUUAGAGAAAAAAAUCAAGCUUGUGUCAGAAAUGGUUCCAAGACGUAUGUCGUGAUGGUGACUUGCAAAAAUAUUCAGGAUGUUAGAGACCUGAGUGUCACGAAAUGAACUAUAGUAUCUUUUUUAGCUUUUCAAUUCAUAUACAGUCAACGCUAUAUCCCAAAUACCCCUUAUCUCGAACUUUCGAUAUCUGGAACCUUUUUGCCAUCUCUUGUAGGCAAAAUUACGUUGCAUAUCUAAAAUUCCCUUAUCUCUAACUUUCGCUUUGUCGAACAAUUUUCCCGAUCCCUUCAGCUCAUUUCAUUGCGUUAUCUCGAACUUUUCCCUUAUUUAACGAAAAAAACAUUCAAUUAUAUAAAAAGUUUGAUGUAUACAUAAAAGAGACUUUCAAAUGUUUACAAUUUUGGAUUUUUGAAAUCCUACUUAUUUUAGAAAUGACUAACAAGCAGAAGCUCGUGGUAAAAAUGUUGGCUGGGAAAUGCUAUAAAAGAAUUGCAGACAGGGUAAAAAAUCUAGUUCUAAUUAAGAACGUAAACCUUCGUAAACAAGUACGGUUAUUUCACUAUCCCGAACUUUAAAGGCCUUCGACGCUCCAUAUCUCGACUAUCCUCGAACUUUUAAUAUCUCAAACUUUUUUCCCUGAGAAUUCGAGAUUUUGAGCGUCGACAAUAUUUGCUGAACAAGAAAUCAUUCUUUCUAUAGGUUAGACGUCGGUUAAUAUUAAGUUAUUAUAUCACUUUAAGGAGAAUUACGCGAUACCACCCCGCAUGAAUACAAACGAUAAUUACAAAAUAGUGUCAAGAGGGCUUUUCUGCUUUUAUAGUGCUAGAUAAAGUAGUUGGUUGGUAGUGGAUCUGAAAUUCUUCGUUUGAUUUAAACUUGUUUACAGGUGUAUCAUACCCUUUAUAACAAACUCUGGCCAAAAUGGCUUCAUUUUUGUUACAAUGACAUGGUGCUGACGCAAGGUCAGCACGCGCAAACGAAAGAUGGUAAAUUGUGGUUUAAGUAGCAAUCCUGACAGGUUUCUGCAACGAAGAAGUUGCAUCAAUUAGUGUUUUUGCAUUGCUUCUCUAGUCAGCUACACUUUUGCAGCGUAUCCAGGAUCAAAAGCGAGAAGUGGGGGUUAAAAGAAAAUACGAGUAAAAACAACGUCAUCAAAGUAACUUUAUUAAAUUUUCCCAUCUCAUAUCUUAUUUAUGCAUGAAGAAAAAAAAAUCAUACAUACUUUUCAACGUGGCUAAGUUAGAUUUUUAGUUACAACCGCUUUUAUAGAUGUGGGGAUGUGUGAGCAUCUUUUUUACAUCGACAGUAACUUCAUAUAUAAAAAAUAUAAGGGCUGUUUAGCAAAUGUGAGGACAUUUUAUUUAGUCGAAAUAUGCACGUGCAAAAAAUAAUUUCCGGUUUCUACAACUGGAUUAAACAUUCUCUAUUAUUUUCAUGCGAAACAGAAAAUUGAUGAUGUUUUUUCCUUUAUCUAUUUUUGGUGGUACUAAAAUUAGUACUGAAUCAAACUGUGAAAAUUGGUUGACCCAGUAUUGAUAAGAAAUUUGAAAUUAUAGCUAGCUUAGUUGUGCAAGUAGUAGAGAAGAAUGUAGUUGUUUAAAAGUGUUUUCAUUUACACAAGCACUUACCAACAGGUUCGUGUAAAACGUUUUCGAAACAAAAUUGUGGCUUAUGGUUGACGUCAAAAUGUCUAGCUCUGGUAUUUCUGGUUACCCUUUCUUAUCCAUAAUGUUUUUAGCUACCUGCAAUUUUAUUAUGAUAAGCGGAAGUAGCUAGAGAUAGAUUUGAGUUGGUUUUGUAGUUGGGCUAGAUUAUGUAGCUAGGUAACAACUUAGAUUUAAUGGGCAAAUUUUACAUAGCUAAUCUGGUUGGAUAUUGUAUAGUCUUAUUUCGCAUGAUAUUACAAUACCAUAUUUCAUGGAAGAAUGGAGAUAAUUAGACUUCGUGGUGUGAAAGUUUUGGGAGAAAAUACUGAAUUGGUAACUGAGUGUUUGUUGCUCAUGAGACUAAUAUUUCACUUGUUAAAACAGCAUAGGAGGUAAAGGGUAAGCAGAAGUACCAAGCUAAACUUUGGCAUAGUGAGGUAAUACUCCCCCUGAUCCCAAUUAUUUAACGUAUAAUCGGAUUUAUAAAACUGAUGGUAUUACUCAUUGACCUUGCUUAGCAUACGCAGGUUUUUUUAACUCUCUACUUUUAAAUUCAAACUAGUUUAGGAGUAUCUAUUUGAAUGACUACAAAAACUGAAAAUCUUGCAGUUAUUCUAAUAGGGUGUCAUGCAAAUGUUAAUUGCAAAAUAUUGGUUUAUCAUUAAAAUAAAUUUUUGUACUAGUAAAAUAGCAGAUCCACAAAAACCAUUCAGAACUUUUGCUUUGCAUGAUACAUUGGUAAGGGCAUUAUUUAUCCUCUAGGACAGUCUACAAUUGUCUUUAAAAAUAAUAUGUUAAUGAUAGACCAAUAUUGUGCAAUUAACAUAAAAAAUCUAUUUACAAUCUGACUAGCUAAUAAUAUGGGGGUAUACAUGGAGGUAUCUUUUAUACCUCCAUGCUAAUAAGCAGUUUACAAAAAUCGUAAAACUGGAUUCUAAAUAUUGCAAACAACAUUUUGUAACACUGUCUAUCAAUAAACAAUCAAUGGGGUAAUUGCACAAUUUUUGUAAAAUCCUAUAAUUUGCUCUUUCAUGACUUUGAUAAUAAAUGAUAAUAAAUAUGCUGUUUAAUAUUUAAUUUUUGUGGUGAAAACCUAUUCUACCAUGAAGGAAAGCGUCGUCGACCAGCUGAAUAAGUGCCGAUAUUACGAAAAAACUGUUUUUAAAAAAAACAAAAAACAGAAUGAUAUUAGAAUCAAGUAAACUUUCUGCGUUGGACCCCAUAGAAGCUCCUCCACACAUGGGAACAAUGACCCUCGAUUCCUUGUUUUUACAAAUGGUCUAUUUAUACUGAUGGAGGGUUAAUGAUAUAAGUGAUGAUGAAUCAGAAUGCGAGUACGACAAUGAUGAUGACGUAACUGGUACCAUUGAAAACAUAUACAAUUUAUUUUUUGUAACUUUUUAAACUUUUUAUAAACAAGUAAAUAGAUAAAGUUAUUUUUUAACUUUUUUAUUUGGUGCUCACUGAAAUCUUAAAGUAAUACACUCAAUUUUCACGAUUUAACGAUUAACUAAUAUCCACUCUUAAACGAACUAUCCGCAAAUCAUAAUUCCCGCGAAAUGUAAUUUUUAAAAAAAAUUAUUUACCGCGAAAAUCAGUAUAAGCGAAAAUUAGAACCAUUAAGGUAUGCUGUUUUGUUAGUAGUUAACUAAGUGUUUUAUCUAGUUUGGUAUAAAUGCUUUAAUCCUAUCCAAUAUUAUUGUUUGUGUCAUAUGUUACAUUUAUCAAUACGACACUUACAAAGUUGCACCUUCACUUUUUUUAAUUUUUUUUUUUCAAUUUUUUUAACUAUUUUCAAUUUUACAACAAUAACUAGAACAUUAUAUGAUUACAAGGGACUAAUUUACUACAUAACACAACAUAUUCCUAGCUAACGAUUUAACAGUUCAACUUUGAAAUUUCAUGAUCAACCACAAUAUCAUCUCCUACAUCGAAC